This 253-nucleotide ribosomal RNA is filed under the name uncultured bacterium. RNAcentral describes it as "partial 16S ribosomal RNA". It matches the Rfam family "Bacterial small subunit ribosomal RNA", at positions 524 to 776 of the family's 1533-position model. The record is from RNAcentral.
UACGUAGGGGGCAAGCGUUAUCCGGAUUCACUGGGUGUAAAGGGAGCGUAGACGGCGACGCAAGUCUGGAGUGAAAGCCCGGGGCCCAACCCCGGGACUGCUCUGGAAGCUGCGGCGCUGGAGUACGGGAGGGGCAGGCGGAAUUCCUGGUGUAGCGGUGAAAUGCGUAGAUAUUAGGAGGAACACCAGUGGCGAAGGCGGCUUACUGGACGGCAACUGACGCUGAGGCUCGAAAGCGUGGGGAGCAAACAGG